UGAUUUCAUUAUGUGCUCAUUUCUUAAUUUUCUCCUACCUGUCAGACAUCCUUCGAUUUUUCUGACAUUAUUGCCCCUUCAUCUCACACUUAAAAAAUAACAAAGAAAGCAAAAGGAUAGCCAAACAGCUUAAUUAAUGUGAGUAAAUAUGGAUGCAUCACAUGGCUCUAUCAAAAGCACCUUGGUAAAAAUGAUAGUCGGUGCACCAAGCUCUCGUUAUGUGCGGAUCUGGGAAAGGGUCGGACCACAAAGAUUUAUUAUACACAGCUUUAUCCUAUAUUUCUCCAAGAGGCUGUUUCCACGGCUCGAACCCACGACCUCCUCACCUUGAUAAAAACUAAACAAUGUUUUCUUUGCAGUUUUGGAGCUGAGAUUCGAAGAAAACAAGCUGCAUGGAAAUGGUUGCUUUUCUUUAAAGCGCUAGAAUUCAACAUUUUCUUCAACUACUACAUUAAUUUUUCACAAGUAGUGAGAAGCUUUGACAAGUUAAAGAAAAAGGGUAUUUAAGCAUGUUUGUUCAUAGGAGGUCUAGUUCUGUAUCUGCUCGCCACUAUUCACCUAUGUCUUCCAUGCGUGUUCGGCCCGAUCGAUAAGGUAUGAAAGAGUCCCCUCUCUGUUUAUUUCUCCGGUUUUUACUAUUAAGUAGCACUUUUGCUAUUCAAUCAUAGAAUCAAUUGAUUCCGAUCGUCGAGCCCGGUCCGGCCCGCUUUGUCUAAAUAUGUAAUGUUGCGGCAAGUCAAUUGCCUCUCCCUUGUCAAAUUUCCUUGUGGAAGAUUUUUGAGUCAAGAAUAUUAAUGAUCAUUCCCUUCCUCUCUUCAUUAGUGUUUGUAUCUUUUAUGACUACCGAAAACAUCGCUUUAAUUUUGGAUCCUUCAUUAAUAAAAUAUUACUAAUUGAUAGA
This is a long non-coding RNA of Nicotiana attenuata, 901 nucleotides long. RefSeq lists it as uncharacterized. NCBI's taxonomy places the organism in Eukaryota, Viridiplantae, Streptophyta, Magnoliopsida, Solanales, Solanaceae. The record is from RefSeq and is a predicted model, not a curated record. The transcript is spliced from 3 exons.